RNAcentral lists this long non-coding RNA (209 nucleotides) under Elaeis guineensis (African oil palm). RNAcentral's name for it is "long non-coding RNA (EGUI_LNC063304)". The record is from RNAcentral. Lineage: Eukaryota; Viridiplantae; Streptophyta; Magnoliopsida; Arecales; Arecaceae.
AGAACAUAUCAAGCAAUCUCAAGAGCAUAACUCCAAAAGAAGAUUGGUAGACUUGCAAACCCCAUCAUGAAUCGAACCAUAUCUAAUAGUGUUCGAUUCCUCAUUUCUUACAUCACUUUAUAUUGUGAUAUCUCAGGAGGUGUCCAUUAUGAGAUAAUCCUAUUCUCUCAUAGAUAUGUCAAAAACUUAUUGGAAAGAUAUCACCCCCU